RNAcentral lists this ribosomal RNA (492 nucleotides) under uncultured bacterium. Its description in RNAcentral is "bacterial SSU rRNA". It matches the Rfam family "Bacterial small subunit ribosomal RNA", at positions 899 to 1397 of the family's 1533-position model. The record is from RNAcentral.
ACUCAAAGGAAUAGACGGGGGCCCGCACAAGCAGUGGAUUAUGUGGUUUAAUUCGAAGCAACGCGAAGAACCUUACCAGGGCUUGACAUGGAAAUGACAGGCGCAGAGAUGCGCCCUCCCUUCGGGGCAUUUCACACAGGUGGUGCAUGGUUGUCGUCAGCUCGUGUCGUGAGAUGUUGGGUUAAGUCCCGCAACGAGCGCAACCCCUAUUGCUAGUUGCUACGCGAGAGCACUUUAGCGAGACUGCCGUUCAUAAAGCGGAGGAAGGCGGGGACGACGUCAAAUCAUCAUGCCCCUUAUGCCCUGGGCUACACACGUAAUACAAUGGCGCCCAACAGAGGGACGCGAAGGAGCGAUCCGGAGCAAAUCCCCAAAAGGCGUCUCAGUUCGGAUCGCAGGCUGCAACCCGCCUGCGUGAAGUCGGAAUUGCUAGUAAUCGCGGAUCAUCAUGCCGCGGUGAAUACGUUCCCGGGCCUUGUACACACCGCCCGU